Photinus pyralis (common eastern firefly) is the source of this 731-nucleotide long non-coding RNA. RefSeq lists it as uncharacterized. The transcript is spliced from 4 exons. The record is from RefSeq and is a predicted model, not a curated record. Lineage: Eukaryota; Metazoa; Arthropoda; Insecta; Coleoptera; Lampyridae.
GGAUACUCUUCUGGAAUGUUCGUUAUCUUCUACAGCUGCUAUGGCUUCUGGAUUUCCAUCUUCUUCGUAUGAACGUGAUAACGCAUCAGCAACUUUAUUCCAUUCUCCUUUGCGGUAGAUUACCUCGAAGUCGUAUGGUUGAAGGUGCAUUAUCCAUCUUGCCAGUCUAGCAGUAGGUUUUUCCAUGGACGUCAGCCACUUCAAACUUCGGUGAUCUGUAAUCACUUUAAAAUGGUAACCUUCAAGAUACCCUUUCCAUUUGUCAAUCGCCCAGACUACCGCCAAACAUUCUUGUUCUAUUGUAGAAUAAUUCCUCUCUGCAGAAUUGAGUGCUCGGCUAAUGUAAGCAAUGACUUUUUCGGCACCAUCUUGAAUUUGUGAUAGAACUGCUCCAAUUCCUGUGUUGCUGGCAUCUGUUUGCAGUAUAAAUUGUUGAGCAAAAUCUGGGCAGAAGCUGAGUUAACGGUUGAGCUAUUAGAGAGAAUUGUGGAAUAAACUUACGAUACCAUGAGGCCAUUCCCAGGAAUCUCCUGACAGCUUUAACAUUACCCGGUGGUUCCAUCUUUACAAUGGCUUCAACUUUUUCCGGAUCUGGUUUGAUACCACCUUGUGUAACCAUAUGACCCAGGUAUUUUAACUCUGUACGGCAGAACAUGCACUUCUCAUUUUGCAACUGAAGACCAUUUAUACGGAGUCGACGUAAAACUUCUUGUAAGCGAAAGCUUUAUGAU